AGCGAAACGGGAAGAGCCCAAACCAACAAGCUUGCUUGUUGGGGUUGUAGGACACUCUAUACGGAGUUACAAAGGACGACAUUAGACGAAUCAUCUGGAAAGAUGAAUCAAAGAAGGUAAUAAUCCUGUAGUCGAAAAUGUUGUCUCUCUUGAGUGGAUCCUGAGUACGACGGAGCACGUGAAAUUCCGUCGGAAUCUGGGAGGACCAUCUCCUAAGGCUAAAUACUCUCUAGUGACCGAUAGUGAACCAGUACCGUGAGGGAAAGGUGAAAAGCACCACGGAAGGGGAGUGAAAU
This 296-nucleotide ribosomal RNA is filed under the name Staphylococcus aureus. RNAcentral's name for it is "partial 23S ribosomal RNA". It matches the Rfam family "Bacterial large subunit ribosomal RNA", at positions 252 to 544 of the family's 2925-position model. Lineage: Bacteria; Bacillati; Bacillota; Bacilli; Caryophanales; Staphylococcaceae. The record is from RNAcentral.